AAGGCAGACAGAAGAGCCCUCCCCCGCACUGCAGAGACCUUGAAGGUUGGAGAGCAGAGAGGAGAAGUUUUAGAAGGGGCGCCAGGACGAGCAAAUAUAAGUUACUGAGUGGAGACAAAAGGGAGAAUUGGAUAUGUGGAGAAUGAAAGGGGCGCUCCUACAUGAUAAUGUCAGAACAGAAGGAUAAUAUACUUAUCUUACCUAAGUCAUUAUUUAGAGUAGGUAAGGUUGUUACCUGGGCAGAGCCAGGUAUCAAAAGGGGGAUGGGUAAAUUGUGGUCUAGGAUAGGAUGGAGCCUAUUGGAUAAGAAACUAAAGAUAUAAUCAGAUAAAACAUAUGAGAAACUGUUUGUUAACCAAGCCUGUAUGUCCAGGAUUUUAUGCAUUACAGGUGAACUACAGGUGAAGUCACUCAAUCCAGUCCCAGAGGCUUGUUGGGGGGACCAUACCAAGGACUCCUGGUGACAGCUAGCUGAAAGAGCUACCCGGAUUCAUAUCGCAUGGCGGGAGGAAGUGAAGGUGUGUCUGGCUCUUGCUAGUGAUGUGUUCUCGGGGAGAGGGUGGGGCUUCACAUGGAAGCUGUUCGUCUGAGCUGUCUUAUCGUGGGUGACAUAUUCCUGAUACAGCACAUCCUCCUGAGUAUGCGGAGAGUGGUAAUUUGACCCAUGGUUUAGAUUAAUUAUAUUUAUUAUAAUCAACAGCGCUUUAACAAUUAUACCAGAGAUGCUAUUAAAGAUUUUGCAGAACAGACUGAAGCAACCAGCCUGAUGGCUUGGCAGAAUAGAAUUGCAUUAGAUAUGUUAUUGGCUGAAAAGGGAGAAGUAUGCGUGAUUAUCGGGACCAUGUUUGUGCUUACAUCCCAAAUAACACAGCUCCGGACGAAUCAGUGCCCGAAGCCUCAGCUGGUUUGGCCACCCUGGCUCACGGUUUGGCAGAAAACUCUGGGGUGGAUAAUUCUCUGACUAAUUGGUUUGAUAAGUAUGUUCGGAAAAUGGGAAAAGAUAUUAUGAUCACUGUUAUAUGGGCUACAUUCACCUGUGUGACUGUUUAGUUUUAUGGGGCUGUUGUCUAAUUCCCUGUGUAUGAGGCCUUAUUUCCAUGACUCUGGAGAAAUCGAUGGCAAUAGAUGGUGAGGUACCAGCGAUUCCAGGUUCUGACCCGUGGAGUGCUGAAUGCAUGUCUACAGAACAAGUGGACGAAAAUUAUAAAUUAAAUUAAAUUGCGAGGGUGUCCGUAUGGGGAUUACAUGAUAACCAAUUUGUAACAGUUCUGGGAUUGGAGAAGAGGGUAUCCUUAUAGCAUAGGGGAUCCCACAAAGGUGGAUAGGUUUUCCAUGAUAUGGGGAAAACCUGGGAGCACUGUUGAACUCUGUAAAGGUGAUGAAAUCCUACUAACCAUCAAAACUAUUAAGCUCUCUGAUGCAGGCACUUACACCCUCGGACUACAAAGGACCGGGACAGACACGAUGGGUGUGUUUUCUAUUAAGGUGCUGCCAAAACCAGAGGUCCAAGACGAACCAGAGCCAGACACACUCCUCUAACACCCCUGACCCGAACCUGCCACCACUGUGUUAAAAAUCCCAUUCAGGUAAUUAAUGUUAGAGACUAUUCAGCUAUUGAUCAAUUUGGCACUGAGACUGGUUUUGAUGGUAGGGACAAUUUGUGGCUGUCUUAUAUGAGGUAUACAGCUAAGACCCUGAAAAGAAAGGACUGCAUGAGUUACAUGAAACAUUGGUCAUGCUAGACCUGUUCUGGCUACACACCCAUUUGCUAUAGGAGAAGGAGAGGGGUGGUUGUGUAUUCUGAGAGGUUUUUACCAGGUUCAGCCCAAUUCAACUCUCUGUUCCUCUUUGAGCCUUGUGUUUCCUAUAGUACCUCCUCAUCGGGCCCCUUGGUGUGUUAAGGCAUAUGGGGGCAAUUACAGUUGCAUCACGGGUACAGGUAAUGGCAUUGAUUAUGGGAGAUUGCCUGAAGCUGAUUGCAGUAGUAACAUAGCCAUUAAUUCCACCAAACUAGUGGUCUGGCUGAUGUGUGGUGGAUCUGUGGACCCAAAAGAGUGCUGAGACCCGUUCUUAGAGGAUACUGGCAAGGUACGUGUGCUCUGACCAGUUUGAUAAUUCCACUGACCAUUGUUGAUGUUACUGCUGAACAGCUGUUGGGUUCUGUAUCCAGGGGACCUGAAAAUAUUCCAUCCCAUGGGAGACAUAGACGUAGUGCUCCAUGGACAGAGGAUGUAGUUGACAUACACACUAACCUGUUGGGAGUGCCAGUGGGGGUUCCUCAUGAGUUUCAGGCCUUGGGUAGGAAUGAUGGACUCUGGCACUUACUACCUAUUAUAGGUCCAGCCGUAGUGGAUGCAAGACAGACUGCAUGGAUUAAUUAUAUCUACUAUAAUCAACAGCGUUUUGUGAAUUACUCCCGUGAUGCACUCACUGGUAUGUCUGAACAGCUGGAGGCCACAUCUAGGGUUGCCAGACAGAAUAGACUUGCUUUGGAUAUGCUUCUUGCCAGUCAGGGGGGUGUUUGUAAGAUGUUCGGUGAACAAUGUUACACAUUUAUUCCUAAUAACACCAGUCCAGAUGGUAGUAUAUCUAAGGCCCUUAGUGGGCUUGGUGCACUAUCUGCUGAGAUGAGGACCCUGGCGGGGGUGGAGGAGUCUGGACUGUUCUCUUGGUUGGGAGCCUGGUUUGGUAAGUACACUGGUAUGGUGGUUACUGGAUUUCUGACCCUAAUUCUUGUAUUUUUGUUAUUCCUUAUGUGUUGUGCUGCUUCCAUCAUACCUUGUUUUAAGAAGUCUGUUACAGAUGUGGUGGCUUCAGGCAUGAUGCCUUUGCUUGAUGCUCCAGUUGGAGAUGCUGAUACUGAAUCAAGCUUUCAGGGGAGGAUGGGACUGACUGAGGAUGACCCAUGGUAUGCUGUGGGUGAGGUAGUAGAAUAAAUAUUACACCACCACAGUUCCUUGUUUUACAUUUGUUUUCUGAUGGGUUUUCUUUCCAGUAUGUUUGUUCUCCCUGUUGUGAAGGUUUAGAGUCCCUGGGUGGCAUGGUGCCCACCUGGUGCAGGAUAGGAGUAGCUGAGAGGACCAGAUGGUUUAUAAUAAUGCUUUGCUCUGUUUUCCAUGACCAAAGUUUUAUCCUACAUCUUACAUGUCAAUAAACAAUAAAGUCUUAUCCUGUUUUUUGUCAAAAGGGGGAGACAAAAGCAUAUAACACUUGAUUUUUCUUUUUUCUUGGUUGAUUUUUCUUUUCUGUUUUUCUGUAAAAAAUAAAUACAAAUAAUAAUAAUUGUUUUAUUAAUAAUAAAUGUUUUGUUAUUUUCAUGAAAUGUUAUUUACAUAUUACUAUGUUGGGACCGCUGAAAUAAAGGAUAAUGAGUGACACCCUAGCGGGUGUCAAAAGGGGGAUUGUUGGAUCCUGUAUUUUACAUUAUAGCCAUUUAGAUAUAUAUGAUUAAAUAUUAUCUGAUGUUGGUUGUGUGAGGUGUCUGCAUUUGUGCACUGGAGCAUCAUUAUGAGAUUAAACAACUGCUUGCUA
Oncorhynchus masou masou (cherry salmon) is the source of this 3531-nucleotide long non-coding RNA. RefSeq lists it as uncharacterized. The record is from RefSeq and is a predicted model, not a curated record. The transcript is spliced from 2 exons. NCBI's taxonomy places the organism in Eukaryota, Metazoa, Chordata, Actinopteri, Salmoniformes, Salmonidae.